RNAcentral lists this ribosomal RNA (460 nucleotides) under uncultured bacterium. RNAcentral's name for it is "partial 16S ribosomal RNA". It matches the Rfam family "Bacterial small subunit ribosomal RNA", at positions 338 to 795 of the family's 1533-position model. The record is from RNAcentral.
CCUACGGGAGGCAGCAGUGAGGAAUAUUGGUCAAUGGACGAGAGUCUGAACCAGCCAAGUAGCGUGAAGGAUGACUGCCCUAUGGGUUGUAAACUUCUUUUAUAUGGGAAUAAAAUGUUCCACGUGUGGGUUUUUGUAUGUACCAUACGAAUAAGGAUCGGCUAACUCCGUGCCAGCAGCCGCGGUAAUACGGAGGAUCCAAGCGUUAUCCGGAUUUAGUGGGUUUAAAGGGAGCGUAGGUGGUUUGUUAAGUCAGUUGUGAAAGUCUGCGGCUCAACCUUAGAAUUGCAGUUGAGACUGGCAGUCUAGAGUACAGUAGAGGUGGGCGGAAUUCGUGGUGUAGCGGUGAAAUGCUUAGAUAUCACGAAGAACUCCGAUUGCGAAGGCGGUUCACUGGACUACAACUGACACUGAGGCUCGAAAGUGUGGGUAUCAAACAGGAUUAGAUACCCUGGUAGUC